This 253-nucleotide ribosomal RNA is filed under the name uncultured bacterium. RNAcentral describes it as "partial 16S ribosomal RNA". It matches the Rfam family "Bacterial small subunit ribosomal RNA", at positions 524 to 776 of the family's 1533-position model. The record is from RNAcentral.
UACGUAGGGGGCAAGCGUUGUCCGGAAUCACUGGGCGUAAAGCGCGCGCAGGCGGCGAUCUACGUCCGGGGUGAAAGCUCAGAGCUCAACUCUGGGACUGCCUUGGAUACGGGAUCGCUUGAGGAUCGGAGAGGCAAGGGGAAUUCCACGUGUAGCGGUGAAAUGCGUAGAGAUGUGGAGGAACACCUGUGGCGAAGGCGGCAUCCUGGACCGGUAUUGACGCUGAGGCGCGAAAGCUAGGGGAGCAAACGGG